AUUGAACGCUGGCGGCAUGCCUUACACAUGCAAGUCGAACGGUAACGGGCCUUCGGGUGCCGACGAGUGGCGAACGGGUGCGUAAUACAUCGGAACGUGCCCGAUCGUGGGGGAUAACGAGGCGAAAGCUUUGCUAAUACCGCAUACGAUCUACGGAUGACAGCAGGGGACCGCAAGGCCUUGCGCGGACGGAGCGGCCGAUGGCAGAUUAGGUAGUUGGUGGGAUAAAAGCUUACCAAGCCGACGAUCUGUAGCUGGUCUGAGAGGAUGAUCAGCCACACUGGGACUGAGACACGGCCCAGACUCCUACGGGAGGCAGCAGUGGGGAAUUUUGGACAAUGGGCGCAAGCCUGAUCCAGCCAUGCCGCGUGCAGGAUGAAGGCCUUCGGGUUGUAAACUGCUUUUGUACGGAACGAAAAGCCUUCUUUUAAUACAGGAGGGUCAUGACGGUACCGUAAGAAUAAGCACCGGCUAACUACGUG
This 482-nucleotide ribosomal RNA is filed under the name uncultured bacterium. RNAcentral's name for it is "partial 16S ribosomal RNA". It matches the Rfam family "Bacterial small subunit ribosomal RNA", at positions 30 to 507 of the family's 1533-position model. The record is from RNAcentral.